This 466-nucleotide ribosomal RNA is filed under the name uncultured bacterium. RNAcentral describes it as "partial 16S ribosomal RNA". It matches the Rfam family "Bacterial small subunit ribosomal RNA", at positions 28 to 507 of the family's 1533-position model. The record is from RNAcentral.
GAUGAACGCUGGCGGCGUGCUUAACACAUGCAAGUCGAACGGAAAGGCCCAAGCUUGCUUGGGUACUCGAGUGGCGAACGGGUGAGUAACACGUGGGUGAUCUACCCUGCACUUCGGGAUAAGCCUGGGAAACUGGGUCUAAUACCGGAUAGGACCACAUUUUGGAUGGUGUGGUGGAAAGUUUUUCGGUGUGGGAUGAGCUCGCGGCCUAUCAGCUUGUUGGUGGGGUAAUGGCCUACCAAGGCGUCGACGGGUAGCCGGCCUGAGAGGGUGUACGGCCACAUUGGGACUGAGAUACGGCCCAGACUCCUACGGGAGGCAGCAGUGGGGAAUAUUGCACAAUGGGCGCAAGCCUGAUGCAGCGACGCCGCGUGGGGGAUGACGGCCUUCGGGUUGUAAACUCCUUUCGCUAGGGACGAAGCGUUAUGUGACGGUACCUGGAGAAGAAGCACCGGCUAACUACGUG